AUGUUUUCCCAGCCCAGCUUCAUCUGGCUCUCUCUGGGAAGCUGUGCAGAAGCUCUUUCAGCCCCUUCCACAGGGCUGCUGCAGAGGAGGAUAGAGGGAAAUAGCAUAGAUCACCUUCCUCAAGAAGCACCAUCCUUGCCUAGGAAGAGCAGUUGCAGCUCGUCAGAACUGGUAGUACACUGUGCAAACCAAUGGAGGAAUGGUGUAGGAAACUUCUGUCAUGAUGACAAGUCCAGUGAACAUGAACAUCACUGUUCUAUCACAGGGACUGAAAAAGAACAAAACUGGGACAGUUCUACCACACCUGAAGUAAGAAGAGGGACAUCCUUUCCUAUUAUUUUCUUCACUAUGCAAGAAAAAAAAAAAAGAAAUGAAGCACCCACAGAGGGCAAUGUCAAGAUAAUAACAGGAUGGCAUACGAGGCUGCCAAGUGCUUGGAAAAGGCAAAGAGACAGGAUACUUCAUCCUAUUGACCUCCAGUGCUGGCUUCUUUCUCCGUGCUUGUAACAUGAGCUGUCUGGAAGCAAAAUGUCUUUGGAGCAGAAAUAAACUCCCAGACCUCAAAGUACA
This 570-nucleotide long non-coding RNA is filed under the name Coturnix japonica (Japanese quail). RNAcentral describes it as "lncRNA (ENSCJPG00005005435.1)". The record is from RNAcentral. Lineage: Eukaryota; Metazoa; Chordata; Aves; Galliformes; Phasianidae.